UCCCAUGUGGCUCAAUUGGUAGAGCAUGGUGUUUGCAACGCCAGGGUUGUGGGUUCGAUUCCCACGGGGGAC
Salmo salar (Atlantic salmon) is the source of this 72-nucleotide non-coding RNA. NCBI's taxonomy places the organism in Eukaryota, Metazoa, Chordata, Actinopteri, Salmoniformes, Salmonidae. The record is from Rfam.